UACAAGAUGGAUUAAGGACCGAUCAAACUGC
This 31-nucleotide non-coding RNA is filed under the name Mus musculus (house mouse). The record is from RNAcentral. Lineage: Eukaryota; Metazoa; Chordata; Mammalia; Rodentia; Muridae.